Molecule: ribosomal RNA, 421 nt
Filed under: uncultured bacterium
Lineage: Bacteria
Description: bacterial SSU rRNA
Rfam family: Bacterial small subunit ribosomal RNA
Source: RNAcentral
AACGAACGCUGGCGGCAGGCCUAACACAUGCAAGUCGAACGAUAUAGUGGCAGACGGGUGAGUAACGCGUGGGAACGUACCUUUCGCUACGGAAUAGCUCCGGGAAACUGGUGGUAAUACCGUAUACGCCCUUAGGGGGAAAGAUUUAUCGGCGAAAGAUCGGCCCGCGUUAGAUUAGGUAGUUGGUGGGUAAUGGCCUACCAAGCCUACGAUCUAUAGCUGGUCUGAGAGGAUGAUCAGCCACACUGGGACUGAGACACGGCCCAGACUCCUACGGGAGGCAGCAGUGGGGAAUCUUGCACAAUGGGCGAAAGCCUGAUGCAGCCAUGCCGCGUGAAUGAUGAAGGCCUUAGGGUUGUAAAAUUCUUUCGCUAGGGAUGAUAAUGACAGUACCUAGUAAAGAAGCCCGGCUAACUUCGUG